AACUUUUUGCCAACCCCGCUACUCAGCCAGGUUUAAAACCAGGCUUGGGAAUAGGUAAUAAAAAAUUGCUGUGAUGGCCCACAAGCGACAAUAAAAAAAAAUAUCCAUUGAAAAAGGGCUUAUGACUCAAACAACACGUAACAAACAGCGAAUGAUUUUUCAUUUCUUUUUUCUCUUCCCAAACCCUUAGUUCUGCCACCGUACCUCACCGAUCGAAGUAGCCAUCGCCGGUUGGAGCAUCGGUAGUCGCCGACACAAGAGGGAAAAAAUGUGAAAAAAAGGGAACCCAUUUAUGUCCAACAUUUGAAAGCCCAAAAGUCAACCGGCUAUUUCCUUGGUUUUCCUUCCAUAAUCUCCGACGUUUAUUAACACACAUUCGAGAAGUCGUUGAAGUUUCAAUUCUCNGUUUGUGGAUUUCUUGAAUUGAUAAAUAUUUUCUAUUUUUUAUUCCCAUCGUAAAAUACGCAGAAGGAACUUUGAAAUCUAUCAUAGUUGUAGAGCUAAAAACCAUUUGUUUGCCAAAUGCAAAAGGAAAAGCCCUUGCCCACGAUGUAAGUAUGGAUGUGAGAAAUGUUUUGCGAUGGAAAAGGAGAAUCACAAUAAGGGGAAACUAUUCCUUUGCUAUAGUCGAAAUUGUGGAUUUUGGGAGUGGGUCGUAAAAGAAAACUCAAGCGGUCAAUGUAGUAGCAAUAGCAUGACGGUCGUUAACCCCAUGAUGAAUGACACUGAUGAAGAAAUGUCCCGCAUGUUCAAAUCUUGGGUAAGGAUAAGUAAUGAAGAGGAGCUCUAGGUUUCAGUGAACGUGAGCAUCAAGAUGAAGAAAAUUGUUGCAGAUGUAGAUGGUAAAGGGAAGCGGCCAGCUUGACUUGAAGAUACUUAUCGAAGCUUUUGUCAAUGAAAAUUGAAUCAGCUUGUCCUUUAGCAUUUCUAGAGGCCGAAAGUUUUGUAUGUGAUGAAUUAAGUCAAGUAGUUGAGCUUUGUGGUACGAGGUUGUAGAUCAUGAUAGCUUCGUAACAAAACAAGCUUCUUUUGUAGACAUUCUGAUUAUGCUAAUUACGUGCACUUUAUGCUAAUUUAUCGUUUAUUUAUUCCAAGUUGACAAGCUUAAGUGAAGCAAAUAUUGCUACAAACACAUGAGAACUGCCAGUAGCAUCCAAAAUUCAAUCAGAUGGGAGACCAAUUGUAAUAUCCUAC
RNAcentral lists this long non-coding RNA (1194 nucleotides) under Olea europaea (common olive). RNAcentral describes it as "long non-coding RNA (OEUR_LNC005457)". The record is from RNAcentral. Lineage: Eukaryota; Viridiplantae; Streptophyta; Magnoliopsida; Lamiales; Oleaceae.